Molecule: non-coding RNA, 1039 nt
Organism: Zootermopsis nevadensis
Lineage: Eukaryota; Metazoa; Arthropoda; Insecta; Blattodea; Termopsidae
Source: RefSeq, a predicted model, not a curated record
CGUUAUCAUGUAAUUUUGUAUGGACGGGUAACUUAUAAGUAACAGCACUUUAGAUUGUAUGGAGCAUCACCUACACUUCUCCUGUACAUCUCCAUCAUCAUGUUCCCAGAGGCAGUACUUGGGAGAAACGUUGGUUUCAUGGGUGCGGAGUUUUGCCUCUGCCCCACAUGAAAUAAGGAACUGAAGUAACAAAGUAUUGGACAAAUACUUAACCCUUCGCAGUCUCUGUCGGACUGAGUCCGACAUUUAAAUAUCUGAGUUCUGGUCCGAUGUGGGACUGAGUCCACCACGUAUUUUACGAAUUCUUUACGUGGUAUGGAGUCAAACAGUGUCAGCAUAUCACUCAAGCCUUCUUCUUUGCACUAGUUCUAUCCUAGUUUUCCUGGUAAGACUAUGUACCUUAUAACAGUGAAUGGCGGCAGGAGAAAAAAGUCAUUUUAUUCUGACACAUGUCCAAAGAAGCCAGGACUCCACAUCAGUUGUUUUGCCAUACAUCAUAUAGUGAAGGAAUACCAUCGGGACCUGGGUUAUAAUUUGGAGGUGCAUGGACUUAAAAAGAAGAAAUGUAGCUGUUCAAAUAGAGAACAUCCUAAUGAUGGAGGCAGCAGUGGCCUCUGAAAUGUUAGUAAACUUGUACCAGGCUACAAAUUGCACAUCACUACAACCCAGAAACCAGCCAUCUUUCUACUCACUACCAUGAGAACAAAUUGUGAAUGACAAACGGAUGCAAUUGGGAAAUACGUCAUGUGGGACGAGUUUCGUGGUAUUUGGUUUCUCGGCAUCAAAGUAGCAGUUCUGUUGGCUAUGCAGAUCAAAGUGGAGGAAAAGAUGGAAGGAAUGAUAGAUCAUAUGACACAUGAAGAAGGUAGGAUGAUGAUGGGAAUUGCUGGAGAAAUAAAACUUCAGCAUUUGCAUUUCAGGAAAUGUGACAUUUAUAUCUUGAAGCAUAACCAAAGCUGGAUAUUGUCAAGAUAGCCAUCUAAUGGCAACAUUAUCCAACACAAGGAUAAAGUUUGAAAUAUGAGGGUCGCUCAUUAAA